AUGAGUCUCCUAUAUAAGGGGGUCGGGGUGUGUUUCUUUACAUAUAUAUAAAUUGUUUCUUGUGAUGAGAUAUCAAAAUGAGAAAAAGUUUAUUUGUGUUCAUGUUGCUCCUUGUCCUUUUUGUUACAGACAUUUUACUUUAUUCCUAAUUCCUAUUUUAUGCUUUUUGCUCGUGUAAUGUUAUUGCUUUUUAUAUUCUUUUUGUUACAUGUUCAUAUAUGAAGAUUUUUCACAUACAUGUUGAUUCUUUAAGUUUUGUUUUUAGUAAUAAUUAUGGAAAGUACAUGAUUAAUGAUGGUUUUGGAUUUUCAAAGUGGAUAUAUAUUAUAGAAACAAUAUUCAUCACCUGUACAUGUAUGUUUUCUGGGUGAGGACACUUUAUUCAUUAUAUACAAUUAUCAUGAAUACAAAGGAUAAGUACAAGUGAUGUUUACAUUAAGAUGAGAAUGAAGAAUUAAUGUGAUUUUGAGAGAAUGAAUAAAUGUAGAUCUGUAUGGUUGACUGGUGAUGGAUUGUUUUGUUGCAGAUGAGACUUUGAUGACUUGGACAGAAGCAGGGAGAGAACCAAGGAAAUGUCAAGAAGUAGACACGAAAUAUCCUUGUCAGGAUGAUUUUACAUGUAAUCAGGACUGCAUAGAUUUACCUGGUGAUAGGAAUGUAACCGGAAAAUGUGAGAUAAGGGAUAAGGUUAAGCGAUGUGUCUGUAACUAUAUUUGUUAAUCUUGAGCAUAUGCUCAGUGAAGUUACUUAUAAUACUAUUCUAUGUACAUGUACACCGGUCACAUGACUUAAUUUCGUGUAUGCCAGCUGUCAUUUCUGAUGGUUUAUUACUUAUUUAAUAUCAAUAAAAUUGUUUGUGGGUUUUAGC
Molecule: long non-coding RNA, 868 nt
Filed under: Lactuca sativa (garden lettuce)
Lineage: Eukaryota; Viridiplantae; Streptophyta; Magnoliopsida; Asterales; Asteraceae
Description: long non-coding RNA (LSAT_LNC009264)
Source: RNAcentral